GGUGUUUAAAAAUAGAUACAUGUGGAAAAUGAAUAGGAAACACGGGUUUAGACAUAGUUAUAUGGGCUACUUGCAGCAGCAACAAUCACCAUCCAGACACCCAUGACACAUUUCCGGGCAGCAACAACAGCAAAACAUUGUGAAGAAACUGCAUAAAUAAAUAUUUAUCAAUUAUCACAGAAAUUUUCUAUACAAUGGACAGGUAACAAGUCAAAGUUUGGGUUUGGGAUUGAGUUGAUCCCUUGACCUCUUUUUUUUUAAAAAUUUUUAAAAUAAUUAAUGUAUUAGAUAUGUUUACAAGAUGUAUAUUAUUAAGAGGUUUAAGGUCAUAAAAUGACAACAUAUUUUCUGAUUUGUCUCAAUUUUUUUACAUAUUUAAUCAUUUUACUUUUAAAAAGCGUCUCCAUUAGCUCAUUAUUUUUUGAAUGAACUUUAGGAAUUUGGGCAACUUUUAAACCAUUUUCCUUUUAUCUUUUACAAGUUUAACCCUUUAGAGAGAACAUAUAAUCCAUAUCGAUCCAUUUUUAUUUUUUAAGUAUAUGGACUAGGGAGCAUAGAACUUAUAGAAGGAGAUGAGAUAAAAAGUAAAAAGGAAUUCAGAAAGUAUACAAACCAGGCAUAUAUGUAGCCCCUUUCAUCCUUCCGUUGUUGGAUUUGAUGAUGGGAUGACAUCACUUGUAUCUUUGGUGCUUCUGACAUCUCUUCUAUGUGUGGAGGUGGUUUUUUCUAAAACUAAAAGUAACAGAAAAGAAACAAAGCCAAUGAGGAUAUAUGGUAUAAAGAAGGGUAUGCCUUGUAUGACCGUAUUUAAUGAGAGUGGUGCAUAGUUGGUGGUUAUCAACCAACAAUAGCCAUAAGGUCCAGCCCCCAAAGCCCCAACCCAACACAAAUGUAAUUUAACAGCGUGCAAAAGAGAUCACA
This 921-nucleotide long non-coding RNA is filed under the name Lactuca sativa (garden lettuce). Its description in RNAcentral is "long non-coding RNA (LSAT_LNC000150)". Lineage: Eukaryota; Viridiplantae; Streptophyta; Magnoliopsida; Asterales; Asteraceae. The record is from RNAcentral.